UACGGAGGGGGCUAGCGUUGUUCGGAAUUACUGGGCGUAAAGCGCACGUAGGCGGAUUUGUAAGUCAGGGGUGAAAUCCCGGGGCUCAACCUCGGAACUGCCUUUGAUACUGCAAAUCUCGAGUCCGGAAGAGGUGAGUGGAAUUCCUAGUGUAGAGGUGAAAUUCGUAGAUAUUAGGAAGAACACCAGUGGCGAAGGCGGCUCACUGGUCCAGUACUGACGCUGAGGUGCGAAAGCGUGGGGAGCAAACAGG
This 253-nucleotide ribosomal RNA is filed under the name uncultured bacterium. RNAcentral describes it as "partial 16S ribosomal RNA". It matches the Rfam family "Bacterial small subunit ribosomal RNA", at positions 524 to 776 of the family's 1533-position model. The record is from RNAcentral.